GGCCCUGCUUUUGUGGGGUGCUCGAGUGGCGAACGGGUGAGUAACACGUGAGUAACCUGCCCUUGACUUUGGGAUAACUUCAGGAAACUGGGGCUAAUACCGGAUAGGAGCUCCUGCUGCAUGGUGGGGGUUGGAAAGUUUCGGCGGUUGGGGAUGGACUCGCGGCUUAUCAGCUUGUUGGUGGGGUAGUGGCUUACCAAGGCUUUGACGGGUAGCCGGCCUGAGAGGGUGACCGGCCACAUUGGGACUGAGAUACGGCCCAGACUCCUACGGGAGGCAGCAGUGGGGAAUAUUGCACAAUGGGCGGAAGCCUGAUGCAGCAACGCCGCGUGCGGGAUGACGGCCUUCGGGUUGUAAACCGCUUUCGCCUGUGACGAAGCGUGAGUGACGGUAAUGGGUAAAGAAGCACCGGCUAACUACGUGCCAGCAGCCGCGGUGAUACGUAGGGUGCGAGCGUUGUCCGGAUUUAUUGGGCGUAAAGGGCUCGUAGGUGGUUGAUCGCGUCGGAAGUGUAAUCUUGGGGCUUAACCCUGAGCGUGCUUUCGAUACGGGUUGACUUGAGGAAGGUAGGGGAGAAUGGAAUUCCUGGUGGAGCGGUGGAAUGCGCAGAUAUCAGGAGGAACACCAGUGGCGAAGGCGGUUCUCUGGGCCUUUCCUGACGCUGAGGAGCGAAAGCGUGGGGAGCGAACAGGCUUAGAUACCCUGGUAGUCCACGCUGUAAACGGUGGGUACUAGGUGUGGGGUCCAUUCCACGGGU
Molecule: ribosomal RNA, 757 nt
Filed under: uncultured Actinomycetes bacterium
Lineage: Bacteria; Bacillati; Actinomycetota; Actinomycetes
Description: bacterial SSU rRNA
Rfam family: Bacterial small subunit ribosomal RNA
Source: RNAcentral